GAUGAAUGCUGGCGGCGUGCCUAACACAUGCAAGUCGAGCGGCAGCGCGGGGUGCUUGCACCCUGUCGGCGAGCGGCGAACGGCUGAGUAACGCGUAGGAAUUUACCCCAAAGUGAGGAAUAACUGCCCGAAAGGGUAGUUAAUGCCGAACAUGGUCUACGUACUAAAGGAGUUAUACGCUCUUGGAGAAGUGUGCGUUGGAUUAGGUCGUUGGUAGGGUAAUGGCCUACCAAGCCGACGAUCCAUAGCUGGUCUGAGAGGAUGGUCAGCCAGACUGGAACUGAGACACAGUCCAGACUACUACGGGAGGCAGCAGAGAGGGAUCUACCACAAUGGGGGGAGGGCUGAUGGAGCUACGGCGGGAAAAGGAUGAAGGCCGUCGAGUUGUAAACUUCUUUUAUGCGUGAAGAAUAUGACGGUAACUCAUGAAUAAGCACCGGCUAACUACGUG
This 451-nucleotide ribosomal RNA is filed under the name uncultured bacterium. Its description in RNAcentral is "partial 16S ribosomal RNA". It matches the Rfam family "Bacterial small subunit ribosomal RNA", at positions 28 to 507 of the family's 1533-position model. The record is from RNAcentral.